RNAcentral lists this ribosomal RNA (838 nucleotides) under Plectosphaerella cucumerina. RNAcentral describes it as "partial large subunit ribosomal RNA". It matches the Rfam family "Eukaryotic large subunit ribosomal RNA", at positions 76 to 938 of the family's 3401-position model. The record is from RNAcentral. Lineage: Eukaryota; Fungi; Ascomycota; Sordariomycetes; Glomerellales; Plectosphaerellaceae.
UGCCUCAGUAACGGCGAGUGAAGCGGCAACAGCUCAAAUUUGAAAUCUGGCUCCUUCGGGGUCCGAGUUGUAAUUUGCAGAGGAUGCGUCGGGUACGGGUCCCUACCGAGUUCCCUGGAACGGGACGCCAUAGAGGGUGAGAGCCCCGUCUGGUAGGAUACCCAGCCCAUGUGACGCUCCCUCGACGAGUCGAGUAGUUUGGGAAUGCUGCUCUAACGGGAGGUAUACUCCUUCCAAAGCUAAAUACCGGCUGGAGACCGAUAGCGCACAAGUAGAGUGAUCGAAAGAUGAAAAGCACUUUGAAAAGAGAGUCAAACAGCACGUGAAAUUGUUAAAAGGGAAGCACUCGCUACCAGACUUGGGUUUGGCGGUUCAACCGGGGCCACGCCCCGGGGCAUUCCGCCAGCUCAGGCCAGCAUCAGCUUUCCGUCGGGGGCAAAGACGUCGGGAAUGUGGCUCCCCCUCGGGGGAGUGUUAUAGCCCGGCGUGUCAUACCCUUCGGGGGGCUGAGGUACGCGCUUCUGCAAGGAUGCUGGCGUAAUGGUAGCUAGUGACCCGUCUUGAAACACGGACCAAGGAGUCAACCUUAUGUGCGAGUGCCCGGGCGUAAAACCCCAGCGCGGAAUGAAAGUGAACGUAGGUGAGAGCUUCGGCGCAUCACCGACCGAUCCUGAUGUCCUCGGACGGAUUUGAGUGAGAGCAUAUAGGGUUGGACCCGAAAGAAGAUGAACUAUGCGUGUGUAGGGUGAAGCCAGAGGAAACUCUGGUGGAGGCUCGCAGCGGUUCUGACGUGCAAAUCGAUCGUCAAACAUGCGCAUGGGGGCGAAAGACUAAUCGA